RNAcentral lists this unclassified non-coding RNA (338 nucleotides) under Hevea brasiliensis (rubber tree). The record is from RNAcentral. Lineage: Eukaryota; Viridiplantae; Streptophyta; Magnoliopsida; Malpighiales; Euphorbiaceae.
GAAAAGACUGUACGCUAAUAGAACAACAAAAUUAACCCCUAAACUAAAAAUCCCCAAAUUCAAAUAAAAUAAAAUUGAAAAAUAGACCCGUGUCCGUUAAUUCAUAAUUAAUUCAAUAGAAAAUUUACAUCUCUAGAAUGGCUUGAGAGAGAGAAAAUUGGACAGAGAUAGAAAGUUACUGAAACUAUGGUUUUGUUCAAGAGACUGUUUGAUAUGUGAACGUGCUAAAGGAGAUGGAGGCAGCAUCAAGAGUGGAACUUGAUGGAAUGGGUUCUAGAAAAGAUUUUAUGUCGCAUACGACUUUGAUUUAUGGCUAUGUCGAGAUAGCUUUGGCUGGC